Scleropages formosus (Asian bonytongue) is the source of this 583-nucleotide long non-coding RNA. RefSeq lists it as uncharacterized. The transcript is spliced from 4 exons. Lineage: Eukaryota; Metazoa; Chordata; Actinopteri; Osteoglossiformes; Osteoglossidae. The record is from RefSeq and is a predicted model, not a curated record.
GUUAUUAGAAACCCCGGAGUGAGCGGUGAAAUGCUGUCUUUACCGCUCGUUUACCACUUUUCUCCUGGCCAGUACAGAGAUGACAGGCCUAACUACAGGAAUCCCCGAGGGCGAUGUGGCCGUUUUUCCCACAAUGGUUAGAGAGACUCCCAAUGACAAAUAACAGGGAUGGAGCCAUUCCAGUGCUGUUGCCCAUCAUGGAUGGAUGUGCAUCGGGAAUCACGGCAGAACAGGGGCACUUUAGAAGAAUUGUCCCGCCGUCACUGCUGACCCCCCACCCGGACAACGUCUCGCAUGAAUCCCCCACAGAGGCAUAAGUGACAAUUAUGAAUUACGCAGUUCAAGACGUGGAACGCCAUGCUCGCAAUAUUGUUGUCCCACCUGUCAAUUCUGCCGAAAUUUGCGCACACGAAAUAUGGACAAUCUGUCUCCGGAGCUUCUGAAAAAAUCCAUUCAGACGCAAAGAUGACAACGAAGAGAGCUUCACGAUCUUUAAAAAUGUCUGCAGAACAAAUUUUGUGCUAUGUUGUGAAUUAUACCAGCGUUCUUGUUAUUUUUUUUUAACAGAUUUAAUGUUGGCAAA